RNAcentral lists this ribosomal RNA (253 nucleotides) under uncultured bacterium. RNAcentral's name for it is "partial 16S ribosomal RNA". It matches the Rfam family "Bacterial small subunit ribosomal RNA", at positions 524 to 776 of the family's 1533-position model. The record is from RNAcentral.
UACGUAGGGUGCGAGCGUUAAUCGGAAUUACUGGGCGUAAAGCGUGCGCAGGCGGUUUUUUAAGACAGGCGUGAAAUCCCCGGGCUCAACCUGGGCACUGCGCUUGUGACUGGAAGGCUAGAGUACGGCAGAGGGGGGUGGAAUUCCACGUGUAGCAGUGAAAUGCGUAGAGAUGUGGAGGAACACCAAUGGCGAAGGCAGCCCCCUGGGUCGAUACUGACGCUCAUGCACGAAAGCGUGGGGAGCAAACAGG